AGUAUAUAUGAGGAGCCCAUUUACUCUGUAUUCCCUAAAUUGGAGGCAGAUAAUCUCCUUUAUCUUUGUUUACACUCAGCUGCUCACAGGUUUAUUGGGAGGAAAGCAGCUUUCCCUGCGACUCAGAAUGCAAUUACUGUGAGAUUGUCCCUGUGCUUCCAAUGGCUCCCAGUCAGCAACUGAGCCACAGGUGCUGCCAGUGAGGAGAGCUGCCAGGAGCUUCUCAGGGCAAUGCUGGCCCUUUGCACCUCACACCAUGACAGGCUGCUUUGUAAAGAGAGAGAGCAACAGAAGAGCAGGAUCACGGAGCACCCUUGUCUGCAAGAGCCCCACACUGUUCAUCGCCCUCAUCCCUGGAUAGCUCUGGUAGUCUCCAUAUCCCUGUGUAACACCACAGCACGGGCUCUCCAGUGCAUACAGAGGACUGGCCCUGCCUAGAACCCUUUGCACUGGACUGAAGAAGAAGCAUUGGUUUCAGACUGGCACUGCCUGGUUACCAGAGUGGAAGCAGCCACGAGAAGACGCCUGAUGUUCCUUUUCCUCAGAUACAGUGGGGCUGCAUCCUCAGGACUGAACACUGCAGGGAUUGCAGCAGCAGUGCUGGGGCUGGAUGGUGGAGCCACAUUCUUGGCCUGAGACAGUCUCUGCAUGUUUAGUACAGGGUGCAAAAGAGCCUCAGAAUGGCUGAGCCAGGUGGCCUGGAUCGUAUUUCUGUGGAAACAAAAACAGAUCAUCUCCUUCCCUCUAAACACCCUGCCAAGACAGAGACCAUGCUGGACUACUCACCAGCAGUGUGGGAGAUGUAGCCAAAUUCAAGACAAACAUUGACAUCAGCUUUUGAAUCCUAACCAGCCUGUGCAAAGAUACCCUUACACUUUGUUUUGUUUCCAAGCCCAUAUUCUCCAGAGGCCUGGGAACAAGCUGUUUUCUCACACUGCGUGAGAGUGGAGUUAGGAUGAUCUAGAGUCUGGGAAGAAGGGAACAACACAUCUUAAUGGGGUCACACAGUCUUGUCUAACCUUUUAUUUUUCUAUGGGCCUCCUGUUUUGUUGUCCCUAGCAGGGUUUCUGGAUGACCCCAAAAGCAUAAGUCAGAGCAGAACAGCAAUUUGUGGAAAACACGUCACCCCAGUACAGCACACAAUGUGUUCCUCUUUUGUAGGGCAGCAUGGAUCUCAAAGCAAACUGGACCAACGUUUCUGCAGCAUUCAGCUCCUCUUUCACUUUCUCUCCACCUCCUUAUUGCACUUCUCUGUCUUGUGACAAAAUAGCCAUCUCUACAGCUUCCAGCUGGGAUGUUACAAACACAGGGCUAGGACCACGGCCACUGCAGGGUUAAAAAAGAGCAAUGUGUUGACAUGCAAUGAGAAUAAUGACUUUGUCCCAUCAAACGUUUUGUGGGAAGGGAACCAUGCCAUCAGAUUUGCCGGAUUUGAAGCUUUUUAACGGAUAGUUUGGAAGCACUCAUUGGCCAUGAGGGGCUGUACCCAUCAAGGUGUUCUGUACCAGGGGGAGCUUAUUACCAUGAGCAAGACCAGGCAGCUCAGGGCAUUACUCAGUAAUCACCUUGGUGGACGCAGCAAGGACAGUCAUCACCUGGCCUGGCACCAUGGCCUGGACUCAGGUGAAAAUGUUCAAUAGCCUGUGACUAAAUGAGUGGAAAAUGGGGAUUCUUUCUGUCACAUAAUAUUCCUGGCAGAUAGUCAAUCUCAUCUUCUUGUGCUGGAGAACUACUGCGCCCGUCUAUGACUGGAGCAUAUGCUGUGCUGCUCCAAGAGCACCUGUCAUGGUCAGAAUAAUCCAGACCUCUUAAAACAAAAAUGUGUCCUUCAGUGCAGGUUGGGGGGAAAUUAAGAGGAGCCUUGCCUGAACACCUCUUUCCCCUCACUCUGUUUUUUUGGGGAAAGCACUGGUAUAAAGGGUUGGAUGGAUAGAAACAAGAGGUAUUGAUACUCUAGAUGAUCUUUUUUUGGUGUUUCAAGAACACUCAUGCACCUGACUGUGAUGUUUUGGGGGCAUGGACCCUGUUUGGUAGCAUGGUGGGAAAUGUUGCAUCCCAUGAGCUCGCUAAGGAGCUGGUACAGCUGAGUUUCCCCAGUCCUUGCUGGGCUGUUGGAUCCGUAACCACAACAUCCAGGACCAAACUCUGAAAAUCAGAUUUUCAUCUGAUCCUUCAUUUCCACGUCCUUAGAAGGUUUGGGCCAGAGGUAUUCAUGAAGUUUUUAUUUGAUUCACUCUUUCACAAAGUGCUUAAACUGGUGGUAAUCAGAAGGAGCAAGCAAUCUCCUCUGGUGUGUUAAAAUGGUCUACUGGUGAUAAGGGGCCUCUCUUUUGGGGCUCUCUAUAUGGUUCCUACUAAUAAAAUAAUCAGUCUGUCACA
Molecule: long non-coding RNA, 2379 nt
Organism: Cyanistes caeruleus (blue tit)
Lineage: Eukaryota; Metazoa; Chordata; Aves; Passeriformes; Paridae
Source: Ensembl